RNAcentral lists this ribosomal RNA (625 nucleotides) under Ceriporiopsis herbicola. RNAcentral describes it as "eukaryotic LSU rRNA". The stretch from base 220 to 373 matches the Rfam family "5.8S ribosomal RNA". The record is from RNAcentral. Lineage: Eukaryota; Fungi; Basidiomycota; Agaricomycetes; Polyporales; Meruliaceae.
CUAAAAGCUGACUGAGGACGACAUUAAUGAAUUGAAACAGGCUGUAUGCUGAUCUCUAUCUGAGAUAUGUGCACGUCUGGCCAUCAUUCAAACCUCUGUGCACCUAUUGUAGGGAUGGUGGAAGGCUUUAAUUAGUCUGAAACCUCUCUAUGUUUUUUUACUACAAACGCUUCAGUUAUAGAAUGUCAAUCUUUGGGUAUAAUGGAAAUAUAUAUAUACAACUUUCAGCAACGGAUCUCUUGGCUCUCGCAUCGAUGAAGAACGCAGCGAAAUGCGAUAAGUAAUGUGAAUUGCAGAAUUCAGUGAAUCAUCGAAUCUUUGAACGCACCUUGCGCUCUCUGGUAUUCCGGAGAGCAUGCCUGUUUGAGUAUCAUGGAAUUCUCAACCUUCAAUACUUUAUUGUAUUGAAGGCUUGGAGUUGGAGGUUUGUGCUGGCCUUUUAGGUCGGCUCCUCUGAAAUAUAUUAGCGUCAAUGACUAUGGAUCGCUUCGGUGUGAUAAUUAUCUGCGCCGUGGUUGUGAAGUACUAAAUACGCUUCUAAUCGUCCUGUAAAUUAUUGGACAAUCACUAUGAUUUUUGAUCUCAAAUCAGGUAGGACUACCCGCUGAACUUAAGCAUAUCAUAA